GAUGAACGCUGACGGCGUGCCUAAUACAUGCAAGUCGAGCGAACGGACGAGAAGCUUGCUUCUCUGAUGUUAGCGGCGGACGGGUGAGUAACACGUGGAUAACCUACCUAUAAGACUGGGAUAACUUCGGGAAACCGGAGCUAAUACCGGAUAAUAUUUUGAACCGCAUGGUUCAAAAGUGAAAGACGGUCUUGCUGUCACUUAUAGAUGGAUCCGCGCUGCAUUAGCUAGUUGGUAAGGUAACGGCUUACCAAGGCAACGAUGCAUAGCCGACCUGAGAGGGUGAUCGGCCACAAUGGAACUGAGACACGGUUCAGACUCCUACGGGAGGCAGCAGUAGGGAAUCUUCCGCAAUGGGCGAAAGCCUGACGGAGCAACGCCGCGUGAGUGAUGAAGGUCUUCGGAUCGUAAAACUCUGUUAUUAGGGAAGAACAUAUGUGUAAGUAACUGUGCACAUCUUGACGGUACCUAAUCAGAAAGCCACGGCUAACUACGUG
RNAcentral lists this ribosomal RNA (497 nucleotides) under uncultured bacterium. RNAcentral's name for it is "partial 16S ribosomal RNA". It matches the Rfam family "Bacterial small subunit ribosomal RNA", at positions 28 to 507 of the family's 1533-position model. The record is from RNAcentral.